UGAAACACAACAAUUUCUCCAAAAACAAUUAUUAUCAUAAGCCCAUCACACACUUCAUCCAACUCAUGUUUUUCAACAAUCAAGCUCAAAAACAAAAGACAAGGAAAAGCUCAAAAACAGAGACAAAAUCUCAUUAUUCGAAAACUAAACUAACUAAAUAAAUAAACAACGGAUAAACGAGAUAAGUAACCCAUCUUCACCCUCCCCCCAAACUUAUUUC
Molecule: long non-coding RNA, 220 nt
Filed under: Salvia miltiorrhiza (redroot sage)
Lineage: Eukaryota; Viridiplantae; Streptophyta; Magnoliopsida; Lamiales; Lamiaceae
Description: long non-coding RNA (SMIL_LNC013203)
Source: RNAcentral